This 610-nucleotide transfer RNA is filed under the name Camptylonemopsis sp. HA4241-MV5. RNAcentral describes it as "16S-23S ribosomal RNA intergenic spacer". The stretch from base 278 to 350 matches the Rfam family "tRNA". The record is from RNAcentral. Lineage: Bacteria; Bacillati; Cyanobacteriota; Cyanophyceae; Nostocales; Nostocaceae.
UUUAGGGAGACCUACCCAACUCAGAAAUCGAAAACAAACAGUUAAUAGACAAUGAGAUGGUCUACUCUAGGUCGGUCGCAGGAUAUAGUUAAGGCUUUCAAACUAUGAUGAGGUUCAAACUCGGGCUAUUAGCUCAGGUGGUUAGAGCGCACCCCUGAUAAGGGUGAGGUCCCUGGUUCGAGUCCAGGAUGGCCCACCUGAAGAUAAUUAGUAAUUGCUAAUGCGUAAUUCGUAAUUAAUUACGAACUACGAAUUAAAAAUUACGAAUUAUUUUGAUGGGGGUUUAGCUCAGUUGGUAGAGCGCCUGCUUUGCAAGCAGGAUGUCAGCGGUUCGAGUCCGCUAACCUCCACAUUCUGACCAAAAAGAAGCAACAAGGAAAAAGCACGGAUAGCAAACAAAAGCUAAAAGUGUAGAAACUAGGGUUGUGUCUAGAUGGAGAAUGUGGGAAGAGAAGAGAAUCAGGAAAAGUUCAGCAAAAUGACUUAAGAAAAGUCAGACUGCUGGGUAAAAUCCAGCCAGAACCUUGAAAACUGCAUAGUAACGCGAAAUUAGCAGGCAGACACAGACAUUCAAAGAAGAGUCGUGUUUGUAGAAAGCAAAAGUAAAUGU